Molecule: ribosomal RNA, 301 nt
Filed under: uncultured bacterium
Lineage: Bacteria
Description: partial 16S ribosomal RNA
Rfam family: Bacterial small subunit ribosomal RNA
Source: RNAcentral
CAGCCGCCACGGUAAUACGUAGGUGGCAAGCGUUGUCCGGAAUUAUUGGGCGUAAAGGGCUCGCAGGCGGUUUCUUAAGUCUGAUGUGAAAGCCCCCGGCUCAACCGGGGAGGGUCAUUGGAAACUGGGAAACUUGAGUGCAGAAGAGGAGAGUGGAAUUCCACGUGUAGCGGUGAAAUGCGUAGAGAUGUGGAGGAACACCAGUGGCGAAGGCGACUCUCUGGUCUGUAACUGACGCUGAGGAGCGAAAGCGUUGGGAGCGAACAGGAUUAGAUACCCCAGUAGUCCCUGUCUCUUAUAC